This 2902-nucleotide ribosomal RNA is filed under the name Escherichia coli KTE87. RNAcentral's name for it is "bacterial LSU rRNA". It matches the Rfam family "Bacterial large subunit ribosomal RNA". Lineage: Bacteria; Pseudomonadati; Pseudomonadota; Gammaproteobacteria; Enterobacterales; Enterobacteriaceae. The record is from RNAcentral. RNAcentral also lists the same sequence under 3 other names.
UUAAGCGACUAAGCGUACACGGUGGAUGCCCUGGCAGUCAGAGGCGAUGAAGGACGUGCUAAUCUGCGAUAAGCGUCGGUGAGGUGAUAUGAACCGUUAUAACCGGCGAUUUCCGAAUGGGGAAACCCAGUGUGUUUCGACACACUAUCAUUAACUGAAUCCAUAGGUUAAUGAGGCGAACCGGGGGAACUGAAACAUCUAAGUACCCCGAGGAAAAGAAAUCAACCGAGAUUCCCCCAGUAGCGGCGAGCGAACGGGGAGGAGCCCAGAGCCUGAAUCAGUGUGUGUGUUAGUGGAAGCGUCUGGAAAGGCGUGCGAUACAGGGUGACAGCCCCGUACACAAAAAUGCACAUAUUGUGAGCUCGAUGAGUAGGGCGGGACACGUGGUAUCCUGUCUGAAUAUGGGGGGACCAUCCUCCAAGGCUAAAUACUCCUGACUGACCGAUAGUGAACCAGUACCGUGAGGGAAAGGCGAAAAGAACCCCGGCGAGGGGAGUGAAAAAGAACCUGAAACCGUGUACGUACAAGCAGUGGGAGCCUCUUAAUGGGGUGACUGCGUACCUUUUGUAUAAUGGGUCAGCGACUUAUAUUCUGUAGCAAGGUUAACCGAAUAGGGGAGCCGAAGGGAAACCGAGUCUUAACUGGGCGUUAAGUUGCAGGGUAUAGACCCGAAACCCGGUGAUCUAGCCAUGGGCAGGUUGAAGGUUGGGUAACACUAACUGGAGGACCGAACCGACUAAUGUUGAAAAAUUAGCGGAUGACUUGUGGCUGGGGGGGAAAGGCCAAUCAAACCGGGAGAUAGCUGGUUCUCCCCGAAAGCUAUUUAGGUAGCGCCUCGUGAAUUCAUCUCCGGGGGUAGAGCACUGUUUCGGCAAGGGGGUCAUCCCGACUUACCAACCCGAUGCAAACUGCGAAUACCGGAGAAUGUUAUCACGGGAGACACACGGCGGGUGCUAACGUCCGUCGUGAAGAGGGAAACAACCCAGACCGCCAGCUAAGGUCCCAAAGUCAUGGUUAAGUGGGAAACGAUGUGGGAAGGCCCAGACAGCCAGGAUGUUGGCUUAGAAGCAGCCAUCAUUUAAAGAAAGCGUAAUAGCUCACUGGUCGAGUCGGCCUGCGCGGAAGAUGUAACGGGGCUAAACCAUGCACCGAAGCUGCGGCAGCGACACUAUGUGUUGUUGGGUAGGGGAGCGUUCUGUAAGCCUGUGAAGGUGGCCUGUGAGGGUUGCUGGAGGUAUCAGAAGUGCGAAUGCUGACAUAAGUAACGAUAAAGCGGGUGAAAAGCCCGCUCGCCGGAAGACCAAGGGUUCCUGUCCAACGUUAAUCGGGGCAGGGUGAGUCGACCCCUAAGGCGAGGCCGAAAGGCGUAGUCGAUGGGAAACAGGUUAAUAUUCCUGUACUUGGUGUUACUGCGAAGGGGGGACGGAGAAGGCUAUGUUGGCCGGGCGACGGUUGUCCCGGUUUAAGCGUGUAGGCUGGUUUUCCAGGCAAAUCCGGAAAACCAAGGCUGAGGCGUGAUGACGAGGCACUACGGUGCUGAAGCGACAAAUGCCCUGCUUCCAGGAAAAGCCUCUAAGCAUCAGGUAACAUCAAAUCGUACCCCAAACCGACACAGGUGGUCAGGUAGAGAAUACCAAGGCGCUUGAGAGAACUCGGGUGAAGGAACUAGGCAAAAUGGUGCCGUAACUUCGGGAGAAGGCACGCUGAUAUGUAGGUGAAGCGACUUGCUCGUGGAGCUGAAAUCAGUCGAAGAUACCAGCUGGCUGCAACUGUUUAUUAAAAACACAGCACUGUGCAAACACGAAAGUGGACGUAUACGGUGUGACGCCUGCCCGGUGCCGGAAGGUUAAUUGAUGGGGUUAGCGGUAACGCGAAGCUCUUGAUCGAAGCCCCGGUAAACGGCGGCCGUAACUAUAACGGUCCUAAGGUAGCGAAAUUCCUUGUCGGGUAAGUUCCGACCUGCACGAAUGGCGUAAUGAUGGCCAGGCUGUCUCCACCCGAGACUCAGUGAAAUUGAACUCGCUGUGAAGAUGCAGUGUACCCGCGGCAAGACGGAAAGACCCCGUGAACCUUUACUAUAGCUUGACACUGAACAUUGAGCCUUGAUGUGUAGGAUAGGUGGGAGGCUUUGAAGUGUGGACGCCAGUCUGCAUGGAGCCGACCUUGAAAUACCACCCUUUAAUGUUUGAUGUUCUAACGUUGGCCCGUAAUCCGGGUUGCGGACAGUGUCUGGUGGGUAGUUUGACUGGGGCGGUCUCCUCCUAAAGAGUAACGGAGGAGCACGAAGGUUGGCUAAUCCUGGUCGGACAUCAGGAGGUUAGUGCAAUGGCAUAAGCCAGCUUGACUGCGAGCGUGACGGCGCGAGCAGGUGCGAAAGCAGGUCAUAGUGAUCCGGUGGUUCUGAAUGGAAGGGCCAUCGCUCAACGGAUAAAAGGUACUCCGGGGAUAACAGGCUGAUACCGCCCAAGAGUUCAUAUCGACGGCGGUGUUUGGCACCUCGAUGUCGGCUCAUCACAUCCUGGGGCUGAAGUAGGUCCCAAGGGUAUGGCUGUUCGCCAUUUAAAGUGGUACGCGAGCUGGGUUUAGAACGUCGUGAGACAGUUCGGUCCCUAUCUGCCGUGGGCGCUGGAGAACUGAGGGGGGCUGCUCCUAGUACGAGAGGACCGGAGUGGACGCAUCACUGGUGUUCGGGUUGUCAUGCCAAUGGCACUGCCCGGUAGCUAAAUGCGGAAGAGAUAAGUGCUGAAAGCAUCUAAGCACGAAACUUGCCCCGAGAUGAGUUCUCCCUGACUCCUUGAGAGUCCUGAAGGAACGUUGAAGACGACGACGUUGAUAGGCCGGGUGUGUAAGCGCAGCGAUGCGUUGAGCUAACCGGUACUAAUGAACCGUGAGGCUUAACCUU